Molecule: long non-coding RNA, 5574 nt
Filed under: Homo sapiens (human)
Lineage: Eukaryota; Metazoa; Chordata; Mammalia; Primates; Hominidae
Description: non-protein coding SEC23A-AS1:15
Source: RNAcentral
AGAGUUACCAGGGCAGGCCACCGGACCCCUGAGCUUGCUUAAUAACCGGAGGAUUUGAGAAAGGCGCGCGGCGGGCGAAGCCAGGCAGCCGGACGGCCGAGGGGCGUGGGACCGGGCAGAGCGGGACCGGGAGAGAGCGCCUUUCCCAGCUCCCUAAAGCCACAGCGUAUCCCACUCCCUGCAGGUCGCAGAAAGAGUGGAGAACUGGUGCCACUCGGACACCUUAGCUCACCGAGAGAAAUGGAGACGGCCUCCAGGACAUCUUAGGACCCUGGUUGAUUCCGAGAAUCACAAAUCACAUCUCUGAAAAAAGUGAAAAGUUCAUUCUUUCACUUAGUGCAACAAAUGUUUACUGAAACUUACUAUGUGCCAGACACAAUUGAGAUGCUGGUAAUAUGAUGCAGGCAAAGUAGGCCCAGAUCCCUGGCCCGAAAGAAUUCACGUACUAUUUAUGUAUUUUAGUCAGCCUGUCUUUUCCUCCUACAUUGCCUCUGCCACUUCAACUCUGUCUCCCCCCACCCCCAAAACACACACACAGUACAAUAUUUGGCUGAUUCAUCUUGAUAUGUUCAAUGUUUUUCUUUCCAAGAAAAAAGUUGAACAAAAUGAGAAAGCAACAGAUUGGUAAGACAUUAGAGCUUGGUGGUCUCAGACAACCCCUUCCUUCAGUGAGGGGAAUGAAAUUAAGUGCCCAUGGAAUUAAUUGCAUAUAUGACAACGCCUAAAAGCCUGCAAAGUUUAGCCAUAUCAACAUUUUAUGGAAUGGAAAAAAAGAUCAAGUCCCUGUCCUUGAAAGCUCAUAUUCAUGAGAAAUAAGACAGCAGCACCAGGCUGGGCGCGGUGGCUCACGCCUGUAAUCCCAACACUUUGGGAGGCGGAGGCAGGCGGAUCACAAGGUAAGGAGUUCGAGACCAGCCUGGCCAACAUAGUGAAACACCGUCUCUACUAAAAAUACAAAAAUUAGCCGGGUGUGGUGGCACGCUCCUGUAGUCCCAGCUACUCGGGAGGAUGAGGCAGAAGAAUUGCUUGAACCCGGGAGGCGGAGGUUGCAGUGAGCCGAGACCACGCCAUUGCACUCCAGCCUGGGUGACAGAGUGAGACUGUCUCAAAAAAAAAAGCACCAAACAUAUUUCCCUUUCUAUAAUGUGUGUACUAAAGUUGUUUUGGAAGGUGGAAGAGGAUGUUUGCUUGUCAAAUUGUAAUACAAUCCUGAAGAGGGCAAUGGGAAUCGAAAGCCAAAAAUUAGUGUAGGCUUCCAAAUAAAGUAGGUUCAAGGUGCUACCUUAAUGAAGAUUCUUAACAGCACACAGCAGAGGUGUUGUUAUAAAGGUGGAAUAAGUACACCCACCAAAAGCGACAAGAUCUAAGAAUGAGUAGGAUAAAAAGAUCUUAGUCCAUUUAGGCUGCUAACACAAAUGCCCUCAACUGGGUAGCUCAUAAACAACAGAAAUUUAUUUCUGACUGUCCUGGAGGCUGAGAAGUCCAGGAUCAAGAUGCCAGCAGAUUUGGUGUCCGGUGAGGACCUGCUUUCUGAUUCAUAGAUGGUGCCUUCUUUGUUCUCACAUGGCAGAAGGGGCUGGCUAGCUCUCUGGGGUCUCUUUUACAAGGGUACUAAUCCCAUUCAUGAGAGGCCAGCCCUCAUGACCUGUUCACCUCCCAAAGGCCCUACCUCCCUAUACCAUCACCUUAGCAGUUAAGAUUUCAACCUAUGAGUUUGGUAGGACACAAAUAUUCAGACCAUAGCAACAUUGAUGAGAAGAUCCACAGAAAUCCUGGAAUCCAGCGAGGAAUAAAUCAAAGCAUAGUACCUUUGGUAGAUUCAUUCAUUUCAUGGUUCCCAGAAAGGCAUCUUUACCAUCCAGCUCAAUGAAGUCUUUUCAAAAACUCAUCAUUCCUGGCCAGGCACAGUGGCUCACGCCGGUAAUCCCAGCACUUUGGGAGGCCGAGGUGGGCAGAUCACGAGGUCAGGAGAUCAAGACCAUCCUGGCUAACAUGGUGAAACCCUGUCUCUACUAAAAAUACAAAAAAUUAGCCAGACAUAGUUGCGGGCGCCUGUAGAGCCAGCUACUCGGGAGGCUGAGGCAGGAGAAAUGCGUGAACCCAGGAGGUGGAGCCUGCAGUGAGCAGAGAUCGCCCCACUGCACUCCAGCCUGGGCGACAGACCGAGAUUCCAUCUCAAAAAAAAAACAAAAAAAAAUUCAUCAUUCCUUUGUUUUCAGUUGAUCAAAGGUUUUAAUUCCCUAUUACAAUGAAAUAGAUGUUAGGAUGCAUAACAAACUCAGUUGCAUCUGUCUUUAUGUGCUUUAAGAUGAAUGACUUUAAGUCCAGGCGCAGCGGUUCACACCUGUAAUCCCAGCACUUUGGGAGGCUGAGGCAGGUGGAUCACAAGGUUAGGAGUUCAAGACCAGCCUGGCCAAGAUGUUGACACCCCAUUUCUACUAAAAAUACAAAAAUUAGCCAGGCGCAGUGGCAGGCGCCUGUAAUCCCAGCUACUCAGGAGGCUGAGGCAGGAGAAUCACUUGAAUCCAGGAGGCAAAGGUUGCAGUGAGCCGAGAUCACGCCACUGCACUCCAGCCUGGGCAACCGAGCGAGACUCCGUUUCAAAAAAAAAAAAAAUGAUGAAUGGCUUUAAUCCUUGGAUAUACUAUCAGGAUCAGGAUCUACUGGACCCAACUUUAGCCUUUCAGGGUUGUUUUUUUGUUUUUGGGCUCUACUCUUAAGGAUUGAUAUUUCAUGAUUUUUUGUUCCUUCGUAGAAGUCUUCCAAACAACAAAGAGAAAAUUUAUUUUCUAAAAAAAUAGAUGUGGUGACUCACACCUGUAAUCCUAGCAGUUUGGGAAGCUGAAGGGGGAGGAUCCCUUGAGCCCAGGAGUUCAAGACCACCCUGGAAAAUAUGGUGAAACCCCAUCUGUACCAAAAAUAUAGAAAAAUUAGCAGAGCGUGGUAGUGUGUGACUUUAAUCCCAGCUACUCAGGAGGCUGAGGUGGGAGAGUAACCUCAACCCAGGGAGGUCAAGGCAGCAGUGAGCCGUGAUGGUGCCAUUACAUGACUGUGCCACUGCCUGGGCGAUAGAGUGAGAUUCUGUCUCAAAAAUAAAAUACAUAAAAUUAAAAAAUAGAAUAAAACUCAUUCUAUUUACAAUUCCCAUAUAGAUCCAUUGGACCCUUAUACAUCUAGGACACAUAGUGGGAUUUACUAAUUUUUUUUUUUGUAUGUUGAAACGUUCUGCUACUUCAUCAUCCAUAGAAUUAUUUCAUCCUUACUGAUCAAUUAUUCCAAGCUAUGCUUUAAAAAAGAUGAAAGUCAGGCUGGCGCAGUGGCUCACGCCUAUAAUUCCAGGGAUGUCACCGUGUUGGCCAGGCUAGUCUUGAAUUCCUGGCCUCAAGUGAUCCGACCACCUCAGCCUCCCAAAGUGCUGGGAUUACAAGCGUGAGCCACCGCACCUGGCCCUUUUUUUCUUUUUUUUUUUUUAGACGGAGUCUUGCUCUGUCCCCCAGGCUGGAGUGCAGUGGCACGAUCUCGGCUCGCUGCAAGCUCCGCCUCCCGGGUUCACGCCAUUCUCCUGCCUCAGCCUCCCGAGUAGCUGGGACUACAGGCGCCCGCCACCACGCUUGGCUAAUUUUUUUGUAUUUUUAGUACAGGCGGGGUUUCACCGAGUUAGCCAGGAUGGUCUCCAUCUCCUGACCUCGUGAUCCGCCCUCCUCGGCCUCCCAAAGUGCUGGGAUUGCAGGCGUGGGCUUUUUUUGCUUUUUUAAAUAGGGAUGGGGUCUUGCUAUGCUGCCUAGGUUGGAAUUGAACUCCUGGACUCAAGGGAUCCUCCCACCUUGGCCUUUCAAAGUGUUGGGAUUAUAGGUAUGAACUACCACACCUAUAAUUUUUUCCAGUAUGCUGGUUACGAGGUUUCAACCUGAGGAAGAGUAGAAAGGGAAUGGAAUUUUUUUUAACUCCUGUGAAAGGAAGGUCAGAACAUCUAAGAGAUUGUAAAAAAUAUAAAAUCUCAUAUAAGCUCCCUUCAAAAGAAAGUCUUUUAAAAGCAAAUACUCCUAAGUUCACUAUUUCCUCAAACUGGCAUUUCUUAAAAUGCCAGAGACUAAAAAGAGAGGGAAAGAUUAUGUGGUCGAAUAAAGACAUGUAUAGCCAAGAACAUUUCUUAAAGAUAUUUGACCUUGCAACUUUUUUCCCAGGGAUUAUCUUGAGUCAAGUAUUCUAAACACCCUAUGAAAGACUUUGCCUUCCACCAUUAAAUAUUAGUUAAUACGUAACAGCCAGUAAUCUUCCUACUUCAGAACCCACAGGUAUUUCUAAACUGAGGUUCCAGUACUACAGUCAGUGAAGUAUAAUGUCAAUUUCUUGGAACUGUAGAUGUUAACCACCAGAUGGAGCUUUCACCUCUACUUUUCCUUUUUAGGUUUACUCUGUUUUCUAGUAUUGAUGAAGCACUUGUAGUUUUUUCUAACAUGGAUUCUCUUCCAUUUGUUCAGAUAGUGACAGGUUAAGGCACUGGCCAACUAUUUUUGGAGUAGUCACUUGAAAAAGCAAUAUUCAGAUUCUUAUAAUUUUGAAUUUUCAGCACCAGUAGUGUGUUAAAGUUAUAUUCACGGAAUAACAUCUGUCUGAUCCUCUAUUCUGCACUCAUAAUGACUACAAUUGUAUUAAAUAUAAUAAGGCUAAUUAAUAAGUCACAUGGAAAUUACAGAAUAGUAAACUCAAGCCUUUGUGAUCAUUUAGUCUAAUCCCCAUACAUGACAAAUGAAUGUGAGGACAAGAGAAGUGGCACACUUAACAACACCCUAGGCCAGGGUGCUGAUGCUCAUUUAAAACCUACAACACUGGCUUUGCAGACACCACUGCCGGAGCCCUGUACUAUCAACCAUGGUGAACCCCACCGUGUUCUUCAACAUCGUGGUUGACGGCGAGCCCUUGGGCCGUGUCUCCUUCAAGCAGUUUGCAGAAAAGUUUCCAAAGACAGCAGAAAACUCAUGCUCUGACCACUGGAGAGAAAGGAUUGGAUUAUAAGUGUUCCCUUCUUUCACAGAAUUAUUCCAGGGUUUAUGUGUCAGGGUGGUGACUUCACAUGCCAUAAUGGCACUGGUGGCAAGUCCAUCUACGGGGAGAAAUUUAAUAAUGAGAACUUCAUCCUAAAGCAUACAGGUCCUGGCAUCUUGUCCAUGGCAAAUGCUGGACCCAUCACAAACAGUUCCCAGUUUUUCAUCUGCACUGCCAAGACUGAGUGGUUGGAUGGCAGGCCAUGUGGUCUUUGGCAAGUUGAAAGAAGGCAUGAAUAUUGUGGAGGCCAUGGAGUGCUUUGGGUCCAGUGGCAAGACCAAGACCACCAUUGCUGACUGUGGAUAACUCUAAUAAGUUUGACUUGUGUUUUUAUCUUAACCACCAGACCAUUCUGUCUGUAGCUCAAUAGAGCACGCCUUCACCCCAUUUUUUCGCAGUAUCCUAUAAUCUUUGUGCUCUCACUGCAGUUUCCUUUGGGUUCCAUGUUUUCCUUGUUUCCGUCCAUGCCUAGCUGGAUUGCAGAGUUAAGUUUAUAAUUAUGAAAUAAAAACUAAAUAACAAAUAAAA